GACAUAGGUGGCGAACGUUAUCCGGAAUUAUUGGGCGUAAAGGAUGCGUAGAUGGUAGAAUAAGUUAUUGGUCGAUGCCAAACUCAAUUUGGCGGAAGCUGGUAAUACUGUUCAGCUAGAGGGCAGGAGAGGUUGAUGGAAUUCUGUGUGGAGCGGUGAAAUGCGUUGAUCUGCAGAGGAACACCAAAAAAGGCGAAGGCAGUCAACUAUUCUGAUCCUGACAUUGAGGCAUGAAAGCGUGGGGAGCAAACCGG
This 254-nucleotide ribosomal RNA is filed under the name uncultured bacterium. Its description in RNAcentral is "partial 16S ribosomal RNA". It matches the Rfam family "Bacterial small subunit ribosomal RNA", at positions 524 to 776 of the family's 1533-position model. The record is from RNAcentral.